This 1207-nucleotide long non-coding RNA is filed under the name Coturnix japonica (Japanese quail). RNAcentral describes it as "lncRNA (ENSCJPG00005019894.1)". The record is from RNAcentral. Lineage: Eukaryota; Metazoa; Chordata; Aves; Galliformes; Phasianidae.
AUGGAGAGCGGUGCGUGUCAGCUGCGUGUUACAGGGCUACCGUGGGAUGCUGUGCCAGCCGUUAGGACGGGCACGUAUGAUGGCAUUAGUGAUGACUUAUAUCCAAAAACCAGCGGAACAGAAGGAUUUCGGGCAAUCUGCGAGGGGACCCCGCAUCGCACCGCACCCACCUCCCCCGGGAGCCGGGGCCGAAGCGGGCUCUCCCCUCCUCCGGUUCCACCGCACCGCCCCGGGGCCGGGGGCCGCCCGCGGGCAGGGGACGGGCGAGGGGCGGGCAAGGGGCGGUGCUGCAUGCGGGGCCGCGCGGGACGGCGGCGGCAGCGGAGCCGGAGCCGGGCAGGGGUGGCCGCGACGGAAGCGGAGCAGAGCGGAGCCGGGCGCGAGAGGCUUUUCUCAGCAUGCAGUGCCUUUAGAUUUGGCUGCGAUAACCAACCACAUCCGGCACAUUGGAUUUCUGGCUUGCAUUCUUCUGUUAUCCUGCUUCCAGCAGAGAGUGGAGCUGAAGUCUGUGCUUCAGAGCAGCAAAGCGGUGUAACGGUGGAGUAAUAGCAGGGUGGAAACUCAGCCAGAUUGGAAGGACAGUAUGUAUGACAUGGUGCAGCAGUGGGAUUGGACUCAGUGAUUCAUGAAGGCUCUUCAGGUUGCACAUCCGUGUCCUGGGAUUACAGAGUUGCCUCUGAGAAAGUCAUCUGAAUCCAACUACAUCAGAGAUACCGAGUCUUCCUGCAGACAAGUCUCAGUUCUCCUGUGGUAACGAAAAACAAGAGGAACACAGUCUCCUGCUUUCAGAUCAAGAGUUCAUUUCCAAUCAUUCAGCAACAGUACUUUAAAUUUAGUCUUUAGUUUAAGGAAAAAAAAACCUUUUCCAGCAGUAGACAAGGGAAAAGUAUGGACCACUGCAGAAGUUGAAUGCCUUGAUCAGUUUGCAGGUCUCCGAAGACUGUGGGUUUAUUGAAGUUAGCCACUUCCAGUUUUCUCAUUACACUUUGAAGUCAGUGACAAACUUCGUAAUCAUUUUGCUGGGACCAAGUUUGGUCUGUAGUUAUUCUGCAUAGUUUUCAGAAAUGCACAAACUGAUUUACAGAGGAAGAAGGUGAAGCCAACAUCUGGCUUUACUGAAAGUUAUUCCUUUGGGAGGACUAGAGAAGAGAGACAAAUGGUUGCACUACUUACCUCCUCAUUUCAGAAGGAGCAGGAACCUGAUCCA